CCUACGGGAGGCAGCAGUGAGGAAUAUUGGUCAAUGGACGAGAGUCUGAACCAGCCAAGUAGCGUGAAGGAUGGCUGCCCUAUGGGUUGUAAACUUCUUUUAUAUGGGAAUAAAACGUUCCACGUGUGGGAUUUUGUAUGUACCAUAUGAAUAAGGAUCGGCUAACUCCGUGCCAGCAGCCGCGGUAAUACGGAGGAUCCGAGCGUUAUCCGGAUUUAUUGGGUUUAAAGGGGGCGUAGGUGGAUUGUUAAGUCAGUUGUGAAAGUUUGCGGCUCAACCGUAAAAUUGCAGUUGAAACUGGCAGUCUGGAGUACAGUAGAGGUGUGCGGAAUUCGUGGUGUAGCGGUGAAAUGCUUAGAUAGCACGAAGAACUCCGAUUGCGAAGGCAGUUCACUGGACUGCAACUGACACUGAGGCUCGAAAGUGUGGGUAUCAAACAGGAUUAGAUACCCCUGUAGUC
Molecule: ribosomal RNA, 460 nt
Filed under: uncultured bacterium
Lineage: Bacteria
Description: partial 16S ribosomal RNA
Rfam family: Bacterial small subunit ribosomal RNA
Source: RNAcentral